This 27-nucleotide non-coding RNA is filed under the name Cricetulus griseus (Chinese hamster). The record is from RNAcentral. Lineage: Eukaryota; Metazoa; Chordata; Mammalia; Rodentia; Cricetidae.
AUUAAAUAAAAAAAACCUCACUGCUGA